AAAGUGACUAAUCUCGUUGGUUGAGGCAAUAUUGGUCAAAUUAACUGUGACAUUGGUAACUAUUAAACAAACAAAUUGGUUAUCUAACAACUAAUAUCAUUGGUUAAGAACAAAUUGGUUGAUUUAACAAAGAUAUUGGUUAACUUUAAUAACAGAUUGGUUGAAAAAUGACUAAUAUCAUUGGUUAAGCAAAUGUUAACUAAGAGAUUGGUAACUGACGCAGGUCUGACGCUCAACGUCAAGUACGUAACUCUGCUUCUCAAUUUUCUGACAAAGCCGCCAUCUUGGUGCUGCAGGAAAGCCGUUUGAGAUAUUGGUGGAAUUCAAACACUUUGUGAGAUGACAGAAUAUUGCUGAAGGAUCCUACAUGGAAGCUGGCUGAUUACACGGAGUGAUUCCUCUGGUGUGGUGUACCUCAGAGAAAUAAACACUGUUGCAAGAGGUGAGAAGAUAUCCUUAUUGCUGGAUGGUUGCUCUCUGGUCGUACUUGAGCCCCCUGGACCAUGUCUGCAAAUGCUUCUGAACAUUGACAGAAUUUCUAAAGGAUCGCUGAGGACUCCCCCUCCAUGCGUGACAUCUUUGAGAAAUUUCCACGCUUUCUGGAGAUGCCAAGUUUGGUACGUCUGCCAGACAUUUUU
Engraulis encrasicolus (European anchovy) is the source of this 638-nucleotide long non-coding RNA. RefSeq lists it as uncharacterized. The record is from RefSeq and is a predicted model, not a curated record. The transcript is spliced from 4 exons. Lineage: Eukaryota; Metazoa; Chordata; Actinopteri; Clupeiformes; Engraulidae.